Molecule: ribosomal RNA, 497 nt
Filed under: uncultured bacterium
Lineage: Bacteria
Description: partial 16S ribosomal RNA
Rfam family: Bacterial small subunit ribosomal RNA
Source: RNAcentral
GAUGAACGCUGGCGGCGUGCCUAAUACAUGCAAGUCGAGCGAACGGACGAGAAGCUUGCUUCUCUGAUGUUAGCGGCGGACGGGUGAGUAACACGUGGAUAACCUACCUAUAAGACUGGGAUAACUUCGGGAAACCGGAGCUAAUACCGGAUAAUAUUUUGAACCGCAUGGUUCAAAAGUGAAAGACGGUCUUGCUGUCACUUAUAGAUGGAUCCGCGCUGCAUUAGCUAGUUGGUAAGGUAACGGCUUACCACGGCAACGAUGCAUAGCCGACCUGAGAGGGGGAUCGGCCACACUGGAACUGAGACACGGUCCAGACUCCUACGGGAGGCAGCAGUAGGGAAUCUUCCGCAAUGGGCGAAAGCCUGACGGAGCAACGCCGCGUGAGUGAUGAAGGUCUUCGGAUCGUAAAACUCUGUUAUUAGGGAAGAACAUAUGUGUAAGUAACUGUGCACAUCGUGACGGUACCUAAUCAGAAAGCCACGGCUAACUACGUG